RNAcentral lists this ribosomal RNA (315 nucleotides) under Amblyomma pseudoconcolor. RNAcentral describes it as "partial 12S ribosomal RNA". The record is from RNAcentral. Lineage: Eukaryota; Metazoa; Arthropoda; Arachnida; Ixodida; Ixodidae.
AUUAAUAAUAACUACGAAAACAAAAAGUUAUGGCGGUAUUCUAAGCUUUUCAGAGGAUUUGCUCUUUAAUGGAUAAAACACCUGAAUCUUACUUAAAUUAGUUAAAUCAGUUUGUAUACCACUAUAUAAAGUAAUAAAUAAUUAAUAUUACUAUAAUUUUUCAUAAAAAGAAAAUUAAGUCAAGGUGCAGCAUAAAUUUAAGAAUGAAGUGAAUUACAAUUCUUUUAAGAAAAAAGAAUAUUUAAAAUAAUUUUAGGAUUUGAAAGUAAAUGUUUUAAUAGUAAUGAUAAAUUGAAUAAAGCUCUGGAUAUGUAC